GACGAACGCUGGCGGCGUGCUUAACACAUGCAAGUCGAACGGAAAGGCCCUGCUUUUGUGGGGUGCUCGAGUGGCGAACGGGUGAGUAACACGUGAGUAACCUGCCCUUGACUUUGGGAUAACUUCAGGAAACUGGGGCUAAUACCGGAUAGGAGCUCUUGCUGCAUGGUGGGGGUUGGAAAGUGUCGGCGGUAGGGGAUGGAAUCGCGGCUUAUCAGCUGGUUGGUGGGGUAGUGGCGUACCAAGGCUUUGAGGGAUAGGCGGCCUGAGCGGUGGACCAGCCACCAUAGUCCUGCGGUAGGCCCCAGUCGCCUACGGGAGGCAGCAGUGGGGAAUAUUGCACAAUGGGGGGAAGCCUGAGGUAGCAACCCCGCGUGCGGAAUGCCGGCUUACGGGUUGUAAACCGCUUUGUCCUUUGACGAAGCGUGCGUGACGGUAAUGAGUCAAGAAGCACCGGCUAACUACGUG
Molecule: ribosomal RNA, 468 nt
Filed under: uncultured bacterium
Lineage: Bacteria
Description: partial 16S ribosomal RNA
Rfam family: Bacterial small subunit ribosomal RNA
Source: RNAcentral